This 231-nucleotide ribosomal RNA is filed under the name Triticum aestivum (bread wheat). RNAcentral describes it as "partial small subunit ribosomal RNA". The record is from RNAcentral. Lineage: Eukaryota; Viridiplantae; Streptophyta; Magnoliopsida; Poales; Poaceae.
AUGUCGCUGAUAAAGGACACGAGGGCAGCGCAGGAAGUGCCGGCGCUGGAGGAGUUCUUCGCCAUGAUCGCCAAGGACUCGGCGCGCGCUUGCUACGGGCCCAAGCACGUCGAGGUCGCGCAUGAACGCAUGGCCAUCCAGACCCUCUUGCUCACGGACACUUGGUUCCGGAACCCCGACGUUGCUGGCUUGCUGCUAGGUGCAAGUGCGUCGAUUUGGCCGAAUCGGUGA